This 395-nucleotide unclassified non-coding RNA is filed under the name Hevea brasiliensis (rubber tree). The record is from RNAcentral. Lineage: Eukaryota; Viridiplantae; Streptophyta; Magnoliopsida; Malpighiales; Euphorbiaceae.
AUCAAUUAGCAAACUAAAAUUGAUUGAUAAGGAAUCUGGUGUUGGAAAAUAUCUCAAGGGGAUCCCAGAAAUUAAAGAAAAAAAUCAUUCAGCCAGAUCCUGCUUGGAUACCGUAGUGAUAAUUUUCAUGAGCAACUAAAAGCAAAAUGAAUCAAACACACCCAAAAGCAAAAAGCCAGAGGUACAUUGAUGCAAUCAAGGAAAAAUACAAUUAGAGAUUAUUUUGAUCUAAUUCUUACCUAUAAAAUUCAAUUUUUUUCUUAUAAAUUUCCAUUUAGGAAAUUUAAUAUUUAGGAAUUCCCAAUUCUACUACUAGUAGAAUUAAUUAUCAAAUCUCUAUAAAUUUAGGGUUUACUACUAUUUAGGAAUUAUUAGACAAAGUUGCUUGCUUCAUA